GAACUCCGGCGAGCAAUUAAUCUCUAACCGGUGCGAAAUUGAACUGUGGGAUUUGGGGGAAGUGGUAGAGGAGUCCGGGGUCUUCGAUAUGACGUGCGGGGUUUCUGAUUUGAUGGUUCGUGCGCGAAGAAAUCGGAAUGGAAUCGUGAGCGACUCGGAGUCGUGCGUGGCCGGGCUUCUCGGGCAGGCGGUUUGGGGAAGAAGGGUGGUGGGGCCCACCGGUCAGUGGGAGCGGGCGGCUGGGCUGGGCGGAGCCGGUCGGUCCGGUUCGGCCAGUUUUCCUCGGUUUUUCUUUUUCUUUUAUCUAUUUUCUGUUUUUGAACCUCAAAAUUGAUUCGAAGCUCCAAAUCACUCCA
This 356-nucleotide long non-coding RNA is filed under the name Brachypodium distachyon (stiff brome). RNAcentral describes it as "long non-coding RNA (BDIS_LNC003424)". Lineage: Eukaryota; Viridiplantae; Streptophyta; Magnoliopsida; Poales; Poaceae. The record is from RNAcentral.